GACGAACGCUGGCGGCGUGCUUAACACAUGCAAGUCGAACGGAAAGGCCCCUUUGGGGGUACUCGAGUGGCGAACGGGUGAGUAACACGUGAGUAACCUGCCCUUGACUUCGGGAUAACUUCAGGAAACUGGGGCUAAUACCGGAUAGGAAUCCUUGCUGCAUGGUGGGGGUUGGAAAGCUUCGGCGGUUUUGGAUGGACUCGCGGCUUAUCAGUUUGUUGGUGGGGUAGUGGCUUACCAAGGCUUUGACGGGUAGCCGGCCUGGGAGGGCGACCGGCCACAUUGGGACUGGGAUACGGCCCAGACUCCUACGGGAGGCAGCAGUGGGGAAUAUUGCACAAUGGGCGGAAGCCUGAUGCAGCAACGCCGCGUGCGGGAUGACGGCCUUCGGGUUGUAAACCGCUUUCAGCAGGGGCGAAGCUUGUGGUGACGGUACCUGCAGAAGAAGCACCGGCUAACUACGUG
RNAcentral lists this ribosomal RNA (465 nucleotides) under uncultured bacterium. RNAcentral's name for it is "partial 16S ribosomal RNA". It matches the Rfam family "Bacterial small subunit ribosomal RNA", at positions 28 to 507 of the family's 1533-position model. The record is from RNAcentral.